RNAcentral lists this long non-coding RNA (1006 nucleotides) under Olea europaea subsp. europaea. Lineage: Eukaryota; Viridiplantae; Streptophyta; Magnoliopsida; Lamiales; Oleaceae. The record is from RNAcentral.
GUCACACAAUUGGCAACAAAAAUGAUGAGUAUCAAACAAGUGAUAAGGAGACCAGAAAAUCUUGGAGUGAUAAGCUUGUGAAAUUCAAAUUAAAUGAUAAAUGCAAGUUGUUAAUUAGUUAUUUGAUGUUUGGAUAGACAUUAGUCACAAAAUAGUGAAGAGUUGUUAUCCUUAUUUUAUUAUAAAUAGGAAUAAAUGUGUGUUGGGUACUCAUGGCGUAUGGUCAUCAUUUAAUAAUGUUAUAAUCAAUCUUUUAUUUAUUUUUCGCUUCCUUUGUGUAUUUCUUCUUGGUAUCAGAGCCAUUGUAAGUACAUGGCACACUACAAGUCAUUUCCUCCACUAUCACUUUACGAUCCGUAAAUGUUGACAACUUCUUUACACGCAUCUCUCAUUAAUUCUCAUCCAUCAAAUACAUCCCACCAAAUCCAGACAAAACAAAAGAAGCUCAUUCCAAAAUUAACAAAUGAAUUCAAGAAUAGGUUGAUCAUUUCACCAAUGAAAAACCUCGUUCCCACCAAAUACAACACAUCAUAUCCAAACAAUUAAAAAAAAAAAAGAAAGAAAUUCACACGAAAGUUAAUAAAUCCUUGCUUUGUGAAAGUACGAUCCCCUCAUUCAUGGUUGGAUCAUCUCAACAAUUUGAAGAAACCCUCAAACUUAUUAAAGGCUUCAACACAACCCAUACAGUAUGGGAAGCAUCUGAAAUGCUUAUAUACACAUGACAUAUCUUUACAAGAAUGAAGAUAAAAAUCAUUCUUGGCUUCUUCACCAAAUCAAUGUCCAUGGCAGCUCUCAAUUUUUGAAAACAAAUUGUGCCUUCAGCCCCAGCACAGUUUGCGGGAGGAUGUUAGAAAGGUCAAACAAUUGGCAACAGAAAUGAUGAGCAUCAAACAAGUGCUAAGGAGACCAGAAAAUUUUGGAGUGAUAAGCUUGUUAAAUUCAAAUUAAAGGAUAAAUGCAAGUUGUUAAUUAGUUAUUUGAUGUUUUGAUAGACAUUAGUCACAAA